This 468-nucleotide ribosomal RNA is filed under the name uncultured bacterium. RNAcentral's name for it is "partial 16S ribosomal RNA". It matches the Rfam family "Bacterial small subunit ribosomal RNA", at positions 28 to 507 of the family's 1533-position model. The record is from RNAcentral.
GACGAACGCUGGCGGCGUGCUUAACACAUGCAAGUCGAACGGAAAGGCCCUUCUUUUGUGGGGUGCUCGAGUGGCGAACGGGUGAGUAACACGUUAGUACCCUGCCCUUUACUUUGGGAUAACUUCAGGAAACUGGGGCUAAUACCGGCUAGGAGCUCCUGCUGCAUGGUGGGGGUUGGAAAGUUUCGGCGGUUGGGGAUGGACUCGCGGCUUAUCAGCUUGUUGGUGGGGUAGUGGCUUACCAAGGCUUUGACGGGUAGCCGGCCUGAGAGGGUGACCGGCCACAUUGGGACUGAGAUACGGCCCAGACUCCUACGGGAGGCAGCAGUGGGGAAUAUUGCACAAUGGGCGGAAGCCUGAUGCAGCAACGCCGCGUGCGGGAUGACGGCCUUAGGGUUGUAAACCGCUUUCGCCUGUGACGAAGCGUGAGUGACGGUAAUGGGUAAAGAAGCACCGGCUAACUACGUG